RNAcentral lists this ribosomal RNA (254 nucleotides) under uncultured bacterium. Its description in RNAcentral is "partial 16S ribosomal RNA". It matches the Rfam family "Bacterial small subunit ribosomal RNA", at positions 524 to 776 of the family's 1533-position model. The record is from RNAcentral.
UACGAAGGGGGCUAGCGUUGCUCGGAAUUACUGGGCGUAAAGGGCGCGUAGGCGGAUAUCUAAGUUGGGGGUGAAAUCCCGGGGCUCAACCUCGGAAUUGCCUUCAAAACUGGAUAUCUUGAGUUCGGGAGAGGUGAGUGGAACUCCGAGUGUAGAGGUGAAAUUCGUAGAUAUUCGGAAGAACACCAGUGGCGAAGGCGACUCACUGGCCCGAUACUGACGCUGAGGCGCGAAAGCGUGGGGAGCAAAACAGG